GACGAACGCUGGCGGCGUGCUUAACACAUGCAAGUCGAACGGAAAGGCCCUGCUUGCAGGGUACUCGAGUGGCGAACGGGUGAGUGACACGUGGGUGAUCUGCCCUGCACUUCGGGAUAAGCUUGGGAAACUGGGUCUAAUACCGGAUAGGAGCCAUCUUUAGUGUGGUGGUUGGAAAGUUUUUUCGGUGUAGGAUGAGCUCGCGGCCUAUCAGCUUGUUGGUGGGGUAAUGGCCUACCAAGGCGGCGACGGGUAGCCGGCCUGAGAGGGUGUACGGCCACAUUGGGACUGAGAUACGGCCCAGACUCCUACGGGGGGCAGCAGUGGGGAAUAUUGCACAAUGGGCGCGAGCCUGAGGCAGCGACGCCGCGUGGGGGAUGAAGGCCUUCGGGUUGUAAACUCCUUUCGCUAGGGACGAAGCUUUUUUGUGACGGUACCUAGAGAAGAAGCACCGGCUAACUACGUG
This 466-nucleotide ribosomal RNA is filed under the name uncultured bacterium. RNAcentral's name for it is "partial 16S ribosomal RNA". It matches the Rfam family "Bacterial small subunit ribosomal RNA", at positions 28 to 507 of the family's 1533-position model. The record is from RNAcentral.